GUUUGCAUGAAAGCCAUACGUUUUGCCCGAAACGUAAUGGUCCAUUGUAAGGGCCAUCUCAUGUGUUUCAUUGUGCAACAUUUUGCAUCAUUAAUAAAUGGAUGUUUUUGUAGUAAAAGUGGUGCUCCCUGUCUUUCAUUUAUUUUUGCAGUUUAAAAAAUAAAAAUGGCAAUGUUUAUUUUCAUUUUUCUUUCCUUUUGAUUUGUCUUGUUC
Molecule: long non-coding RNA, 213 nt
Filed under: Lathyrus oleraceus (garden pea)
Lineage: Eukaryota; Viridiplantae; Streptophyta; Magnoliopsida; Fabales; Fabaceae
Description: Pisum sativum (pea) long non-coding RNA (PSAT_LNC014337)
Source: RNAcentral